Molecule: long non-coding RNA, 381 nt
Filed under: Trifolium pratense (red clover)
Lineage: Eukaryota; Viridiplantae; Streptophyta; Magnoliopsida; Fabales; Fabaceae
Description: long non-coding RNA (TPRA_LNC014435)
Source: RNAcentral
AUAACCUAUUAGCUUUUUUUUUUUUAUAUCAAUCACAACAUUAGCAUAAUUAUGUAUAUAUAUAUAACUAAGGCAUACCAUAUUUAUAUAAAAAAAAAACUACAGGGGGGAGGACAUACUGCUCCAGAGUACAAACCUGAAGAAUGCUUAGGCAUGUUGACUAGGUGGUUAUCUAAUAACCCACUCUAGGAAUUAAUACACCAUCAUUGCAUAGCAUUGAUCUUNNNNNNNNNNNNNNNCACCAACUUUACUUUUACCAUUUCCUUCAGGGCAGGGGCAGUCUUAACCUUUGGGCAAGUAAAGUAAGGGCUUUAGACCCAUCGAUUGUAAAAAAUGACAAAUAUUGCUCUUUAAGCCCCUCAAGUUGUUCUCAAACCCCCC